CACGGGGUUGCGAGCGUUGUCCGGAAUUACUAGGCGUAAAGGGCAGGCAGGCGGAUCCAUAAGUUUAUCGUUUAAGGCGUCGGCUUAACCGGCGUAGGGCGGUAGAUACUGUGGAUCUGGAAUGCGGUUGGGGAAAACAGAAUUCCUGGUGUAGCGGUGGAAUGCGCAGAGAUCAGGAGGAAUACCGAAGGCGAAGGCAGUCUUCCAAGCCGUUAUUGACGCUCAACUGCGAAGGUGUGGGUAUCAAACAGGAUUAGAUACCCUGGUAGUCCCUGAG
Molecule: ribosomal RNA, 277 nt
Filed under: uncultured prokaryote
Description: partial 16S ribosomal RNA
Rfam family: Bacterial small subunit ribosomal RNA
Source: RNAcentral